CCUACGGGAGGCAGCAGUGGGGGAUAUUGCACAAUGGGGGAAACCCUGAUGCAGCGACGCCGCGUGGGCGAAGAAGUAUUUCGGUAUGUAAAGCACUAUCAGCAGGGAAGAAGAAAUGACGGUACCUGAGUAAGACGCACCGGCUAAAUACGUGCCAGCAGACGCGGUAAUACGUAUGGUGCAAGCGUUAUCCGGAUUUACUGGGUGUAAAGGGUGCGCAGGCGGCGUGGCAAGCCUGAUGUGAAAGCCCGAGGCCCAACCGCGGGACUGCAUUGGGAACUACCGGGAUAGAGUGUCGGAGAGGUAGGUUGAAUUCCUAGUGUAGCGGUGAAAUGCGUAGAUAUUAGGAGGAACACCAGUGGCGAAGGCGGCCUACUGGACGGUGACUGACGCUGAGGCUCGAAAGCGUGGGGAGCAAACAGGAUUAGAUACCCGUGUAGUC
RNAcentral lists this ribosomal RNA (442 nucleotides) under uncultured bacterium. RNAcentral's name for it is "partial 16S ribosomal RNA". It matches the Rfam family "Bacterial small subunit ribosomal RNA", at positions 338 to 795 of the family's 1533-position model. The record is from RNAcentral.